UCAAAACUCUUAGCAUCAAACGUG
This 24-nucleotide microRNA is filed under the name Lotus japonicus. RNAcentral's name for it is "lja-miR11104-5p". Lineage: Eukaryota; Viridiplantae; Streptophyta; Magnoliopsida; Fabales; Fabaceae. The record is from miRBase by way of RNAcentral.